This 253-nucleotide ribosomal RNA is filed under the name uncultured bacterium. RNAcentral's name for it is "partial 16S ribosomal RNA". It matches the Rfam family "Bacterial small subunit ribosomal RNA", at positions 524 to 776 of the family's 1533-position model. The record is from RNAcentral.
GACAGAGGGUGCAAACGUUGUUCGGAAUUACUGGGCGUAAAGCGCGUGUAGGCGGCACGGCAUGUCGGAUGUGAAAUCCCAUGGCUCAACCAUGGAAGUGCACCCGAAACUGCCGAGCUGGAGUCUCGGAGAGGAAGGCGGAAUGCUUGGUGUAGAGGUGAAAUUCGUAGAUAUCAAGCGGAACACCGGUGGCGAAGGCGGCCUUCUGGACGAUGACUGACGCUGAGACGCGAAAGCGUGGGGAGCAAACAGG